RNAcentral lists this ribosomal RNA (608 nucleotides) under Bacillus sp. (in: firmicutes). RNAcentral describes it as "bacterial SSU rRNA". It matches the Rfam family "Bacterial small subunit ribosomal RNA", at positions 122 to 716 of the family's 1533-position model. Lineage: Bacteria; Bacillati; Bacillota; Bacilli; Caryophanales; Bacillaceae. The record is from RNAcentral.
UAACCUGCCUGUAAGACUGGGAUAACUCCGGGAAACCGGAGCUAAAACCGGAUAGUUCCUUGAACCGCAUGGUUCAAGGAUGAAAGACGGUUUCGGCUGUCACUUACAGAUGGACCCGCGGCGCAUUAGCUAGUUGGUGGGGUAAUGGCUCACCAAGGCGACGAUGCGUAUCCGACCUGAGAGGGUGAUCGGCCACACUGGGACUGAGACACGGCCCAGACUCCUACGGGAGGCAGCAGUAGGGAAUCUUCCGCAAUGGACGAAAGUCUGACGGAGCAACGCCGCGUGAGUGAUGAAGGUUUUCGGAUCGUAAAGCUCUGUUGUUAGGGAAGAACAAGUGCGAGAGUAACUGCUCGCACCUUGACGGUACCUAACCAGAAAGCCACGGCUAACUACGUGCCAGCAGCCGCGGUAAUACGUAGGUGGCAAGCGUUGUCCGGAAUUAUUGGGCGUAAAGGGCUCGCAGGCGGUUUCUUAAGUCUGAUGUGAAAGCCCCCGGCUCAACCGGGGAGGGUCAUUGGAAACUGGGAAACUUGAGUGCAGAAGAGGAGAGUGGAAUUCCACGUGUAGCGGUGAAAUGCGUAGAGAUGUGGAGGAACACCAGUGGC